GCAUUACUGUCCACAUGUUUGCAAAUAAGGACACAGGCUGAAGGAGGAAGAGCUGAGACACACUCAAUAUUCCAGGAGCCAAACUUGAGAUCUCAGAGUCAGAUAUAAACUUAGUUUUUCAAG
RNAcentral lists this long non-coding RNA (123 nucleotides) under Capra hircus (goat). Its description in RNAcentral is "lncRNA (ENSCHIG00010025096.1)". The record is from RNAcentral. Lineage: Eukaryota; Metazoa; Chordata; Mammalia; Artiodactyla; Bovidae.